RNAcentral lists this long non-coding RNA (8653 nucleotides) under Marmota monax (woodchuck). The record is from RNAcentral. Lineage: Eukaryota; Metazoa; Chordata; Mammalia; Rodentia; Sciuridae.
GUGUCCGAGUCACUUCCGGUUUGCAGCUAGCAGCUGGGAGCCGCUCAGACACCCCACAGGAGCACCUGCAGGAGGGGCGCUCUGCCCUAGCAAGCGGCUUGAGAAACCGCAGGCUCCCUGACUGAGGUCAGCGUUGCAGGAAACCCCGAGGCCAGGGCUUCAGGGCAGGAUCCUUCCCCUGGGGACGGAGAUCCUUCCAGACUGCCUCCCGCCGGCUUCCUCCGAGUGAGUGGCUCCUGGAGGUCGCGAAACCUGCUCCGCUGUGGGACCGGAGGAGGCGCCCUGGAUCGGCCGUCCUCGUUCCCCUGACGGAGGGGCCGCGUCCCGGAGUCCGCCAUCUCUGCCGUUGUCUCCAGGCUUCGCUCUCCAGCUUCGGAGUCCGGGUUGUCUGCUGUGCAGGUCUGAAGACCCUUAGGGAGCAGCCUGGCUCCUGAGCUCCAGGGAAUGGUGAGUGGGCAGGGGCGCCUGGAGCUGGGCCGGGAGGCUGGGCCGGGAGGCUGGGGAGGGAGGCUGGGGCGGGACAGGAGCUGGCAGACGGCACCGGCAGUCUCUGGAGCCGGCAGGCCCGAGCCCCCAGUCCCCCUGGCCUCCUAGGUGGGGAGGUGUCCCCCUGGCCUCCCAGGUGGGGAGGUGUCCCCCCGGCCUCCUAGGUGGGGAGGUGUCCCACUGGCCUCCUAGGUGGGGACGUGUCCCCCCGGCCUCCUAGGUGGGGAGGUGUCCCACUGGCCUCCUAGGUGGGGACGUGUCCCACUGGCCUCCUAGGUGGGGAGGUGUCCCUCUGGCCUCCUAGGUGGGGAGGUGUCCCACUGGCCUCCUAGGUGGGGACGUGUCCCACUGGCCUCCUAGGUGGGGACAUGUCAGUGGCACCUUCUCAUCCUCUCUGGGCGUCCGCAGCCCCUGCCUUAGUACUCUCUGGCUGGUGUGCGCCUGCCACCCAGACUCUUGGCGACGCUGGUGAUUGACGGUGGGAGGGUUGUCAUAACCACAUCUCCACGUUUUCCUGCAGCAGAGAAGCGCCGGUCCACAGGGACCUCGCUUUUCUUCCUGAGCUAGCUCGUUUUCAUUUUUUUUUUUUAAGUUACCGAAAGUUGGGGAUAUUAUACUAGUGAGCUAUAUCCCUGAUACUAUUUAUUGAUUGAUUGAUUUAUUGGGACAGGUCUAGCUAAGUUGCUGAGAUUGGCCUUUUUAUGGUUUGAUUUAUCUAGACUUUUUCUAUUGUAAUUAAGUAUAAAUUUUUACAUUAUAUGGAUUCAUAUAUUGAUUUUGCUUUCAUUGUGAUUCCUUGGUAUUAUGGUAAUAUAGUAUAGUUUUAUAAUAUACAUGAAUGUCAGGUAAUGAUAAGUACUUAUUUUACUCUUAUAAUUGAAAAAUUGUCAUCUUUAUAAUGAUGAGUUUUAUCAUGUACACAUGGAUGUGCAAUUGAGUCUCUGAUGUGGUUCUGAUGACUUUUGUUUUCUCAUAAGUUCUACAUACCUGAAGUCCUAUCUGAGCACAUAUGUACCAGCAUUCCAGCACCUUCCCAGAUGGUGGGGGAUUGUGGAGUGGAAUGAUCAUCCAAAUCUCAACUCCAUGUAUUGUUUUCCUGCACGAGGGGUGUGUUUUCUGUAGGGGGUCUCAGUUUUUCUUUCCUGAUGAGCUUGCUUUUCUUUCUUUUUUGGGAGGAUGGUAUUACUGUGGAUUGAACCCAGAGGUUCUUUAUCAUUGAGCUACAUCCCUGGUACUUUUUUAUUUUUCUUUUUUUAUUUUGAGUCAGUUGCUGAGUAUGGUCUUGAACUUGUUUCCCAGUCUCCUGAGUUGCUGGGAUUACAGUUGAGUUCCAUUCUGCCUGUGUCCUCCUGAAUGAUCUCAAUGUAUGGAAACAAAGUGUCAAAUCCAGAACCCUGUCUCCCAGCCUAAACCUUUAUGUAGAUGUCGACAAAAUCUUAAAAUUUCAGCUACCUCUCCACAUUCCCAAUGAUAACUUCCCCUCUCCUCAAUAUUAUCAAUUAUUUUUCCCAUAUUACAUUUCAAAUGAGCACAGUAUUUUUUAAUUGUUUUACCAAGAACUGGAUGGAAUUUUCUUUCUUUUUUUUUAAAGAGAGAGAGAGAGAGAGAGAGAGAGAGAGAGAGUUUUCCUAAUAUUCAUUUUUUUUUUUUUUUUUUAGUUCUCAGCGGACACAACAUCUUUAUUUGUAUGUGGUGCUGAGGAUUGAACCCAGUGCUGCGCACAUGCCAGGCGAGCGUGCUACCGCUUGAGCUACCUCCCCAGCCCAUGGAUGGAAUUUUCUUAAAGGAUUUCUGUUUUGUUUUGUUUUUGGCUGGGUUUAAUGGCACUUGCCUGUAAUUCCAGAGACUCAGGUGGCUAAGGCAGGAAGAUUGCGAUUUUAAGGUCAACAUCAGGAAUUUAGGGAGACCAUGGGCAAUUUAGAAAGACGUGUCUUUAAAUUCUAAAACAAGGGCUGUGUAUGUAGCUCAUAUUUAACAUGCCCCUGUGUCAAAUCCCAGUACUAUAGAAAGAAUCAAAAGCAAAGGUUUUUGUUGUUGUUGUUUAUGAGCAUUUCCCAUGAUAGAAAAGUAGAGAAGAAUCACUUGACCUUUGCAAUAAUAUGUUUGUAUUCUCCCUUUGUCUCUCAAGGCCAGACAGCCUGUCAGAAUGUCUUUGUGCUGAGUGUCCCCUUUGUGGAAUUUAUGCCAGAGGGUUCUAAUUUCCCCUUCUGGUAUUUUCCUGGAACUGUCUGAUAUGAGGAUCCCUCAGCUAACACCUCUAAUGUCUCCUGAGAGUCCAGUGAAUAUGAGUACCUGGGUCUCAUCUUGUGAGCGAGCAGUCUAAAUUUAGGGAACAUACUUUCUCGGGGAAGUAGCUGAGUGCUCUAAAACUGGGAGAAAUCCCCCGGUGUACCCUGCAUCCAGAAGGCACUUUAGUUGUUUCCUUCUCUUGGCUACUGUGAAUACUGCUCCAGUGAAGAUGAGAAUGCAACCAAUUUACAGUCCCACCGGCAAUGUGUGAGUGUACCUUUUCCCCUGCAUCCUCACCAGCACUUGUUGUUGUUCAUAAUGGCUGCCAUUCUUACUGGAGUGAGAUGGUAUCUUAGAAUAGCUAUCUAACAUUUAUCUAACAUACUGACUUCAACUACUGUGGAAAUGCACCCAGAAUUAUUAUUAUUGUGUUAGAUUUUAAAGAACUUUCAACUUCCCAUGCUUUUUUUUUUUUUUUUAAAUGGCUCCACUAAAUUCAUAUUCUGGCACACAAGCCUUACCAGUGAUCUGUGCCUUACAAGUGUUGCUUUCUUCCAAAUUCAUAUAAUUGGAGUACUAGUUAUUCUUCAACUUUUUCAUAUUAGCCAUUUUCUGUAGCUGUGCUCAGGCUGCAGAAGGUUUUUUUAUUAUUAUUAUUUGUUUAAAUUAGUUACAUUUGAGAGUACAAUGACCUUGACAUAUCAUACAUUUGAAUCAGAUGGGAUAUAAUAUCUCAUUUUUCUGAGUGUACGGGUUGCAGAAUCACAUUGGUCAUGCAUUCACAUACAUACACACAGUAAUAAUAAUGUCUAUUUCAUCCUACUGUCCUUCCUAUCCUCCCAUCUCCUCCCCUCCCCUCCCAUCACUUCUCUUUACCUAAUCUAAGGUAACACUAUUUUUUUUUCCCUCACAUCUUCAUACAUGUAUUCUGUAUAACGAAGGGGGUCUCCUUCCCUCUCCCAUGCAAUUCCCCUUCUCCCUCCCUUUCCCUCCCACCUCUUCCUUAUCUAGAGGUAAUCUUCUUCACAUGCUCUUCCUCCCUACCCCAUUUUGAGUCACCCCCCUUAUAUCAGAGAAGACAUUCAGCAUUUGUUUUUUGGGAUUGGCUAACUUCACUUAGCAUAAUCUGCUCUAAUGCCAUCCAUUUCCCUGCAAAUGCCAUGAUCUUGUUAUUUUUUAGUGCUGAGUCAUAUUCCAUUGUGUAUAAAUGCCACAUUUUUUAAAAUCUAUUCAUCCAUUGAAGGGCAUCUAGGUUGGCUCCUCUGACUAGCUAUUGUGAAUUGUGCUGCUAUAAACAAUGAUGUGGCUGUGUCCAUGUAGUAUGCUGCUUUUAGGUCCUUUGGGUAUAGUGUGAGAAGAGGAACAGCUGGUCAAAUGGUGGUUCCAUUCCCAGCUUUCCAAGGAAUCUCCAUACUGCUUUCCAAAUUGGCUGCACCAAUUUACAGUCCCACCGGCAAUGUGUGAGUGUACCUUUUUCCCUGCAUCCUCACCAGCACUUGUUGUUGUUCAUAAUGGCUGCCAUUCUUACUGGAGUGAGAUGGUAUCUUAGAAUAGCUUUAAUUUGCAUUUCUCUGACUGUAGAGAUGGUGAGCAUUUUUACAUAUAUUUGUUGACUGAUUGUAUAUCCUCUUCUGAGAAGUUUCGGUUCAGAUCCUUGGUCCAUUUGUUGAUUGGGUUAUUUAUUUUUUUUGGUGUUUAGCUUUUUGAGUUCUUUGUAUACCCUAGAGAUUAGAGCUCUAUCUGAUGUGUGAGGGAUAAAAAUUUGUUCCCAGGAUGUAGGCUCCCUAUUCACCUCACAUAUUAUUUCUCUUGCUGAGAAAAAACUUUUUUGUAUGAAUUCAUCCCAUUUGUUGAUUCUUGGUUUUAAUUCUUGUGCUAUAGGUGUCUUAUUAAGGAUAUUGGGGCCUAAUCCCACGUGAUGGAGAUUAGGGCCAACUUUUUCUUCUAUUAGACGCAGAGUCUCUGGUUUGAUUUCUAGGUCCUUUGAUCCAUUUUGAGUUGAGUUUUGUGCAUGGUGAGAGAUAGGGAUUCAAUUUCAUUUUGUUGCAUAUGGAUUUCCAGUUUUCCCAGCACCAUUUGUAGAAGAUGCUAUCCUUUCUCCAGUGCAUGCUUUUAGCACCUUUGUCUAAUAUAAGGUAGUUGUAGUUUUGUGGGUUAGUCUCUGUGCCCUCUAUUCUGUACCAUUGGUCUAUCAGCGUGUUUUGGUGCCAGUACCAUGCUGUUUUUGUUACUAUUGCUCUGUAGUAUAGUUUAAGAUCUGGUAUAGUGAUGCCCCCUGCUUCACUCUUCCUGCUAAGGAUUUCUUUAGCUAUUCUGGGUCUUUUAUUUUUCCAGAUGAAUUUCAUAAUUGCUCUUUCUAUUUCUGUGAGGAAUGCCAUUGGGAUUUUGAUUGGAAUCGCAUUGAAUCUGCUACAGAAGGUUUUAUAGUUGAUUGCUGCACUAAAUUCCUGAUGCAAGUUUGUUAGAAUCCAGGCUGUCGUAUACUCACUGAAAGAAAGGUGAUGUAAACCUAUUUUAGAAAUAAAUGGGGAUCUGUACUUUUAAUCUUUUUCUUUUCUCACUCCUGGUGGAUGUUUGUACACCAAUGUGAAGCCACUCCUUUGUGAUCUAGGCAGACAUGCACACACACAGUUGCCAUUGCUCCCAAAGCUUGAAGGUUUAGGAUAUAAUACAUUGAAUGGAAAAAGUUGAAAUUGUGACAAGUUCCUUAAAGAAUUGUUAGGCUUGGAGUUAUUAGUGAGGUGAGCAAGGGGGAAGGGCUCAGGAAGUGCUGAACUACCACCUGGGCUGCCAGUGGUCGAAUAAAUUUCCCCUGUAAACCCUUUGGUGCUGGCUAGAUAAAAGCUCAGCUGUUAGCAACAGAGUUUGCAGAGUAUGCUGGCAAAUCCCUUUUAGGGAUAAACCAGGACCCUUGAGAUUUAACUCCUCCCCUGAGAUUCGGGAAUUCUGUCUAGUUAAAUGGCACAUUGCUCAAGGCAGGCUAAUGCCCAAGUAUACUCCAACUUUUUCUACUCAUCUGAUGGUAAAUAUUUUUUUUUUUUCAGUUGUCCAAUGUAUGUGCCUAUAACUUUAAGAGGGAAUCAAAACAUGAGUAGAUAAUUUAUUUGGUGUAUCCAUGAAUGGAGGGAGAGUCAGGAGGCUCAUAUUAUGGUGUAUUUUUAAAAUUAUCUCUCUUACUAUCUGCUUUUUAAUAUUUAUUUUUUAGUUUUAGGAGGACACAAUAUCUUUUACCUUGCAACAUCAGGCUUGACAAGUCCAAUCACUUAACAUCUCUGUGAAUAUUAGUUUUUUUUGUGUGUUUGCUGUUUGUUUGUUUGUUUCUUUAGCAUCUUUAAGUAGUAUUGCUUUAUACUUAUAUUUUAUGUUUGUCAUUGGAAUGUUUUCUUCUUUGUGAAAUCUUUUGAAGUUUCUCAUCUGUGCUCUACUCUGUUGAGAUGUAUUUUGGCUCCAACAAAAUGUAUAUUCAUAUAUUUUGCACUAUAAACACUUUAUUAGAAAUGGUCACUAAAAACAUCUCCCACUUUAGAUCUUACCUUUGAACAUUGGAGAUACUUACUUAAAAUGACAGAAGUAAAAUUCACAGAGGUGAAGUCCUAGAAAUUACAGGGUAGCAUCUUGGAAAGGAGGAAGUAACACAAUCAAGAUAACUGAAGUGGAUAUAAACUCCCAGAGUUUCUAGGUAAAUACUAGGGCCCAUAAACACUAUGGUGAGAUGACCGGAAACAUGCACAAAGGGUGAUCCAAGGCUACAUGCAACUGGGUGAUUUUCCAGGGGUCUAAUCAAAAGUAUUGGUCAUACCUGCUGUCUAAAAGGGUUGUGUCCUCAGCUCUACUUCUUUGGUUUGACUCUGUUCCAGGAGAUUUUGUGGAUGUGGAUUUCUCUAAAUUUUCUCUUAAAUAUUUUGGAGGCAGUUUUCUACGGAGCUCUGUCCCCAUCUCACUAUAUAUUGUGGAUCUUUCUCCUGUCUUGCUUCAGUUUUCAGAUCUAGGGUCCCCUGUUUUUCUUCUUUUUCCUGUGCUUGGAGCUGCAUUUUCUGAAACACUGGCAAAUAUUGUUUGCAAGGAUAAGCUUAUAGUUAAUCUGUCAUCUUCUGUGCUGUGAGGAUAGCUGCUGAUGUGCCAUCAUGUUCUAUGUAGGGUGGAUUUGUCUAUCUUACUUUUGAGGACUAUUUAAGCAAUUACAUUUGUGAUCAUUCCUUUCAGCAGCAAUAGGAAAAUUUAUUUUCUGUAAUUUUAAUUAACCAUGUGACCAAUGGCUAAUGUGAUAAAUGUUAAAGCUAAGUAGUAUUUGUCAAAGCUGUGCCAAUCUUUAGCAAAUUAUGAUUGAAGAUUACUAUCUUUUGUUGUUGUUGUAGAUGGACACAAUAUCUUUAUUUAUUUAUUUAUAUGUGGUGCUGAGGAUUGAACCUAGUGCCUCACUCAUGUGAGGCAAGUGCCCUAGCACUGAACUGCAACCCCAGCCCAAAGAUGAUUAUCCCAUUGUCAAAAACAACAGUACUUUGGUCAGAGAACUUCUUCAAUCUGGAGAAUUAAUAUCCUGUCCUUCUUUCCUUAGUUUCAGCUUCUUUGAAAUGUUAACUAUGUGUUGUGCUCUGGGGAACAUUUCCUUCUUUGGUUUAAUUAUGUCUCAUCAUUUAUGUAUAAUAAACAUUCUAAAGUUAAAUGUGACUUUUUUAUUUGCAAUGAUCUACAUAAGUGGAGGUUCAAUGCUGACAUAAAUUUCCUGAUAACAUUUGUUUUUAGUUUUGGAGGUGGGUGGAUUUUAUUUCUAAUUCUAUAUUUUACUAGAUUGAGACAAGGGGAGUUUGAUGGCCAGUUUUUCUAUUAUCUUUUGUGUCUGAUAACAUAUUUAUGGAAGUUUGUAGUUUAAUUCUCUUGAUUUAUGACUUAUAUGAACUAGACUUUUGCUGAGAUUCUCGCCAGUAUCUUUGACUUUGUCAAACUGAAAGUGUUGCAACUUGCUUAUAUCUCUUGGUAUCUCAGUUUAUUUUAAAGUGGAUAUUUUCAAAGAUAGGAAUUUACUAUCAGAAGCUAUAAGUGAGCUUAUAAAAGAAGAUACAAGAUCAAUCAGUUGUCUAUCUACAUAAGAAAAUGAAUAUUAAAAUGUGAAAUUAAGAUAAUUCUAGUGAAAAUAAUAUCAAAAGCAAAUAUUUAGAGACAAUAUUUAGAAAGAUGUGAAACAUUGAACAUUGAGAACUAGAACACCUGGCUUGUUUAUAGAAGAUCUAGCAUCAUCCCUCAGCCCCCUCCUUGUUUUAUCUCUGUGGUAAUGAAAUAGGGCCUAGGUGUUUGACCAGUGUGCUGUAUUGUAAAGAUGACCUUAGGCCUUGGCCUGAGCAACUCCAUUUUAAAACUCCACUUUGAAACCUGAAGUCUCUCCAGGCAUGCCUUUGUAGCCCUCCAAUAUGAUCAUCAUGAACAAGUCACUUCUUCCCACCCUGACAAGCUCAGAGUGAAGUCUCGUCAUGUUGCCCCACCCCACCAUAAAGGGGAGAGGCAAGAAUAUCUGGGUGGGGACCACCAGACCAGUUGCUUUAACCUCUGGGCAAAUGACAUCACUGAGAAAUCCAGUGGCAGCUGAUAGGGAUUGGAAGGGUGGUCAGAAGCCCCAAAAUUUAGUAUAAAUGAAGGAGCAAAUGAACAGACAUUCAGCCAGCUGACAAUGGUGCCCUCAUGCUGGAGAGCCUGAUGAGGACCUGGACUGACAUCCUAACUCUUCUCAUCUUUUCCUGAUCCUCUGCAUCUUCUUCACUGCUCUCAAACUGUACAGCCACAUCUUGACCCUGGUGAGAAGUGCAGCUUCUCCCUGUGACCCCCUCUUCAACCAGCUGUCAGCUCCACCCCAGGAGAAGCCUGCCUUGGUUCCUGACCAGAUCACCACAGUCUGAGUGAGUGGGCAUCUGCUGGACUUAGAGCCUAAGGCUUGAGACUGUAGAAC